This is a microRNA precursor of Ciona intestinalis (vase tunicate), 65 nucleotides long. Lineage: Eukaryota; Metazoa; Chordata; Ascidiacea; Phlebobranchia; Cionidae. The record is from Ensembl.
UGUUUCAAAUGGACUUCAUGGAAAUGUUUCAUAACAUUAAUUAUGAUCUAAGUUUGUUUGAAGCA